GACGAACGCUGGCGGCGUGCUUAACACAUGCAAGUCGAACGGUAAGGCUCCAGCUUGCUGGGGUACACGAGUGGCGAACGGGUGAGUAACACGUGGGUGACCUGCCCUGCACUUCGGGAUAAGCCUGGGAAACUGGGUCUAAUACCGGAUAGGACCGCACCGUGAGGGUGUGGUGGAAAGUUUUUUCGGUGUGGGAUGGGCCCGCGGCCUAUCAGCUUGUUGGUGGGGUAAUGGCCUACCAAGGCGGCGACGGGUAGCCGGCCUGAGAGGGUGGACGGCCACAUUGGGACUGAGACACGGCCCAGACUCCUACGGGGGGCAGCAGUGGGGAAUAUUGCACAAUGGGCGGAAGCCUGAUGCAGCGACGCCGCGUGGGGGAUGACGGCCCUCGGGUUGUAAACUCCUUUCACCAUCGACGAAGGGUUUCUGACGGUAGAUGGAGAAGAAGCACCGGCUAACUACGUGCCAGCAGCCGCGGUAAUACGUAGGGUGCGAGCGUUGUCCGGAAUUACUGGGCGUAAAGAGCUCGUAGGUGGUUUGUCGCGUCGUCUGUGAAAUUCCGGGGCUUAACUCCGGGCGUGCAGGCGAUACGGGCAUAACUUGAGUACUGUAGGGGAGACUGGAAUUCCUGGUGUAGCGGUGAAAUGCGCAGAUAUCAGGAGGAACACCGGUGGCGAAGGCGGGUCUCUGGGCAGUAACUGACGCUGAGGAGCGAAAGCAUGGGGAGCGAACAGGAUUAGAUACCCUGGUAGUCCAUGCCGUAAACGGUGGGCGCUAGGUGUGGGUUUCCUUCCACGGGAUCCGUGCCGUAGCUAACGCAUUAAGCGCCCCGCCUGGGGAGUACGGCCGCAAGGCUAAAACUCAAAGGAAUUGACGGGGGCCCGCACAAGCGGCGGAGCAUGUGGAUUAAUUCGAUGCAACGCGAAGAACCUUACCUGGGCUUGACAUAUACAGGAUCGCGCCAGAGAUGGUGUUUCCCUUGUGGCUUGUAUACAGGUGGUGCAUGGCUGUCGUCAGCUCGUGUCGUGAGAUGUUGGGUUAAGUCCCGCAACGAGCGCAACCCUUGUCUUAUGUUGCCAGCACGUUGUGGUGGGGACUCGUAAGAAACUGCCGGGGUUAACUCGGAGGAAGGUGGGGAUGACGUCAAAUCAUCAUGCCCCUUAUGUCCAGGGCUUCACACAUGCUACAAUGGUCGGUACAGUGGGUUGCCAGUCCGUGAGGGCGAGCUAAUCCCGCAAAGCCGGUCUCAGUUCGGAUCGGGGUCUGCAACUCGACCCCGUGAAGUCGGAGUCGCUAGUAAUCGCAGAUCAGCAACGCUGCGGUGAAUACGUUCCCGGGCCU
RNAcentral lists this ribosomal RNA (1341 nucleotides) under uncultured bacterium. RNAcentral's name for it is "partial 16S ribosomal RNA". It matches the Rfam family "Bacterial small subunit ribosomal RNA", at positions 28 to 1381 of the family's 1533-position model. The record is from RNAcentral.